This 263-nucleotide unclassified non-coding RNA is filed under the name plant metagenome. RNAcentral's name for it is "partial contains small subunit ribosomal RNA, internal transcribed spacer 1, and 5.8S ribosomal RNA". The record is from RNAcentral.
UUUCCGUAGGUGAACCUGCGGAAGGAUCAUUAUUGUCUAAACGAGGUGCGAGGGCUGUCGAUGACCCGAAAGGUCGUGCACGCCCGAGUGCCCUCACUCACCGCCUUCUCACCCCUAUGUCCACCACCGCGUGGGUCCCCCUUUGGCUGGUUCGGAGUGGGUCUUAAGUUUUCAACCAAACUUUGUAUGCAGUUUAUAAUGUAUUUUUUGUUUUUGCGAGCACGCAAUCACUACAACUUUCAACAACGGAUCUCUUGGCUCUC